GAUGAACGCUGGCGGCGUGCUUAACACAUGCAAGUCGAACGGAAAGGCCCUGCUUUUGCGGGGCGCUCGAGUGGCGCACGGGGGAGUAAAACGCGAGGAACACGCCCUUAACAUUGGGAGAACAUCAGGAAACUGGGGCUCAUAUCGGAUAGGAUCUUCUGCAGCACGGUGGGGGAUGGAAAGUUACGGCGGUUGGGGAUGGACUCGCGGCUUAUCAGCUUGUUGGUGGGGUAGUGGCUUACCAAGGCUUUGACGGGUAGCCGGCCUGAGAGGGUGACCGGCCACAUUGGGACUGAGAUACGGCCCAGACUCCUACGGGAGGCAGCAGUGGGGAAUAUUGCACAAUGGGCGGAAGCCUGAUGCAGCAACGCCGCGUGCGGGAUGACGGCCUUCGGGUUGUAAACCGCUUUCGCCUGUGACGAAGCGUGAGUGACGGUAAUGGGUAAAGAAGCACCGGCUAACUACGUG
This 468-nucleotide ribosomal RNA is filed under the name uncultured bacterium. Its description in RNAcentral is "partial 16S ribosomal RNA". It matches the Rfam family "Bacterial small subunit ribosomal RNA", at positions 28 to 507 of the family's 1533-position model. The record is from RNAcentral.